GAAGCUCCCAGAGUCUCACCUGGCAGGCCCAGGACAAAGGUCUCCUAUUGGACCGAGGAAAAACAACAGAGUGAAGGUCAUGACGCCUUUGGAAUACCUGCUGGUGUGCAAGUCAGCAAACACCAUGAUCACAUGUGCAAAGAGCUAAAACGCCACGGUCGUGCCAUCCGGCGUCAUGUUCUAUCUCUAGGACCUAUGAUGCUCCCCCUACUUAUAGAAAGGCAUCCUUUCACUUUCUGACGGCUAAUGUCAAAUACCAUUUCCAGAUCUUCCUUGUAGAAAUCAAUACCUUUGGCUCCACCCACCCAUCAACUUCGCAUUCUGAGAACAAAGCGGUUUCAUGAUGCCUCCGACUUUAGUGCUCAGCCACUAACCAACCAAGCAAAUGAUCUCCCUAAGACUGGAAUGAGGAAAAUAACCAACUCAAAGAAUGUGAACCAGAAGCUGUGACCUAUGAAUAUCACAGAGGCUAAGUAAAAAACGGCAUGACCUAGGAAUACCACACAGAGGAGCACAAAAUUCUGUGAUCUGCGAAAGCCCCAGCUGAGAGUGGCAUCAAUGCCUUCAUAUUUGAUCACAACUUUCAGUUAAACUAAGAGCCUGAUUAAAGGGGGGAAUUGUUAAGAGAAAACCAUAGGCUCAAAAUAGGAUCACUUAAACCAAGUUCCCAAAUCUGGGCUUUCCACACAUUCUAACUGCAGUUUCAACCUCCUCCAGAAAUGCAGGCUUAACUGGUCAGUGAGGAAAAAUUUUCUGUCAGCACCAAUGAGCCUGUCACCUGGAUCCUCUCCAUCCCCCAAAGAAAGAUGAGGGAGACAGAACAUGAAGACUCCUAACUCUGGGAAACAAACUAGAGGUGGUGGAAGGGGAGGAGGGCGGGGGGUGGGGGUGACUGGGUGGCGGGCACUGAGGGGGGCACUUGACGGGAUGAGCACUGGUGUUAUUCUGUAUGUUGGCAAAUUGAACACCAAUAAAAAAUAAAUUUAUUAUUAAAAAAAAAGAAAGAUGAGGUUGUUCCCCACCCCAACCCCACAAACAGCCUAAUCUGGAACAAUCCUUUUCUUUUGCUAAUAAUCUUCUGGCCCCCACCUUCCAUCUAUAAAAACCUUCCAUUCCAGACAAGUUAGUGCCUGUCUAACUUGCUAGAUGGGAUGCUGCCUAAUUCAUGAGUUGUUUAAUAAAACCAAUUAAUUUUCACAUUUA
Molecule: long non-coding RNA, 1203 nt
Organism: Canis lupus familiaris (dog)
Lineage: Eukaryota; Metazoa; Chordata; Mammalia; Carnivora; Canidae
Exons: 2
Source: RefSeq, a predicted model, not a curated record